RNAcentral lists this ribosomal RNA (361 nucleotides) under uncultured bacterium. Its description in RNAcentral is "partial 16S ribosomal RNA". It matches the Rfam family "Bacterial small subunit ribosomal RNA", at positions 338 to 696 of the family's 1533-position model. The record is from RNAcentral.
CCUACGGGAGGCAGCAGUGAGGAAUAUUGGUCAAUGGGCGCAAGCCUGAACCAGCCAAGUCGCGUGAGGGAUGACGGUCCUAUGGAUUGUAAACCUCUUUUGUCGGGGAGCAAGGCCCGCCACGUGCGGCGGGAAGGAGAGUACCCGAAGAAAAAGCAUCGGCUAACUCCGUGCCAGCAGCCGCGGUAAUACGGAGGAUGCGAGCGUUAUCCGGAGUUAUUGGGUUUAAGGGGUGCGUAGGCGGAAGGUUAAGUCAGCGGUCAAAUGGCGGUACGAAACACCGGCCAGCCGUUGAAACUGGGGUUCGUGCGUGAGCGAGAGGCAUGCGGAAUGCGUGGUGUAGCGGGGAAAGGCGUAGAGA